ACAGCCACGCUGGCCUGAAGUGGUGCGCUGUGAGAAGCCGCGCACACACUCACACAGGUCCGUUCCUGACUCGCACCGAGCGGGUACUGCUAGCUGGUAGCCAGAUGCACGAGAAGUCAUGUUAGCGUUUUUUAUCAACCCGCGUGGUAUACACAGGUUCAGAAGGUUACUGGUCAUCAAUGGAAACUGACACAUCAGCUUGAUACACACCACGGCAGACCCAGGAUGAGCUCUGGUCAAAAACAAUGAGAGGAACAUACACCGCUAGCAGAGGUGAAGCCAAGGUCAGCUGAACUCAACAGACACUGGGUCAGGCAGCGGCAGCGUAUGGAAGGAGCAAGUAACAGUCUUGUUGUGUUGGCUUGCCUCCACCAGACGCCCACGUCUUUGGGUCACAUAGAAGGUCACCGAGCGGGUUUGGACACCUAUCCUCCGCUGAUAGUGAUUCCUGCGAUUUUCGUUGUUGUUGCUGAUGAUUGUGGUGGUGGUGGUGACGACGACACUCGGUGGUGAUGGUGAUAGUAGUGGUGGGAGGAGUGGUAUCAGUAGCAAUAGUUAUUUAGGAGAGUGGUGAGCAUCGCGCCAGCGGGCUAAGGGCGGCGAUGAACACGGUGGUUCUGGUGAUAAUGAUGAUAGUGGUGGAUGAUGAUACCAGUUGUGGUGGUGGUGACAGUGGUAAUAGACAUAUGCUAUUCACACACACACACACACACACACACACACACACACACACACACACAACCCCGUUUACGAAACAUGAUCAGCGUGACACCACAACACAGAGACACACAGCACAAAGUUCUGUCUUACGUAACUCCAGUUUGAUAUCAAUAUAUCAUCAAGCUCCUGAAACAAACACACGCGUGCGCCCGAAAAGAUUAAUAUUGUGGCAGAUUUGAAAUAAGGAGAGAGAGAGAGAGAGAGAGAGAGAGAGAGAGAGAGAGAGAGAGAGAGAGAGAGAGAGAGAGAGAGAGACAUUCUAAAUAAGAGUUAAGAAUUUGUAGUGCGGCUACUGGUGACGGGACAACGUUUUCCUUACAAAUAGAUCCACCACUUGAGAGAUUAUCUAAUCAUCACCUUCUUCUUCUUCUUCUUCUUCCUCUCUUCUAACUUUCUUUCAUGUCACUUCACAGACAACCGAGCAAUAAUUAUAAGCAGUAGUAGUAGUAGUGAUAAUCGCCGCUUCUGAUUUUUUAUCUUUUUUUUAGUUGUUUGUGCUGAUUCUACUGUUCCUACUCUUGUUACAGUGCUCGCGAACACGCACACACACAUACACACAGGCAAACACAUACUGCACACAGUAAUUCCCUAUUGCGUCACCGCUUAUCUCAUAUAUCCGUGUCCUUACGUCACCAAGUGGUAAAAAGAGAAAUAAUAAAAAGUAGAAACAGAGUCCAUUAUAGCAGGAGUGUACACUUCAUGUCCCGCACUCUGCCUGCCCACCCAUCCCACUGACACUCCGGCAGGUGGCGACUGCUACACCAAACCCACCCGUCCUCAGCCCCUCAACCCUCAGCCCCUCGACACCACCAGGCCUGCCGCAGAGAGAGAGAGAGAGAGAGAGAGAGAGAGAGAGAGAGAGAGAGAGAGAGAGGGUGAAUGAAACGGGUAAUAAAAAAUCUGUUUAAUAAUAGACGACAGACAGAGUGAAGGAGAGACACGGUAAGGAUCACAGUCUUCUGGCUCGCCUCCAAGUUCCCCACGACCCUUCCUUCCUCCAUACCCCACCCAGCCCCACCUCCACCAUCACCACCAUCACCACCACUACCACCACCACCACCAUUACCUCCAUCGACAGGGUUACGACACCGAUUAAGGUCGCAGUUUAUCUUUUCAUGUUUAAUCUCAUUCUGAUUGCAUGAUAUUUGAUUGAAAGAAAAGAAAAAGUUCAUUCCACUCGGCAUACAGGUUUUAGGAAAUCGAAAGUAUAGGAUUAAUUUUGUACACAAGUAGCAGAAAUAUUUACAGAAUUUCCACUAACGUAACUUUCCUUCCUCCUCCAUCUCACUACUUCUACUACUACUACUACUACCAUAUCUGCUUCUCUAACUGUAACACUGCUACAAAUUUCACACCUAAGAGGCAGAAAUCUUUCCAGAACUUCCACUAACAACUUUCCCUCCUCCUCCGCCUCCUCCUCACUACUACUACUACUACUACUACUACUACUACUACUACUACUACUACGACUACUGCUACUACUACUGCUACUACCUUCACUGCUGUGACCAUAACACAACCAUAUACUUCCGAGCGCUGACUGCCGUGCACGGAAUGGAGUUAUCACAUCAGGAUCGCCACACAGAGAACCCAAGUGUCCUCGCACGCGCCAGUCACGUGGUCGACAGGGUGGUGACGCUGGCCUUGGUAUUCUAACUCACCUGAGAAGACGAGACCCGAGGAAAGCAGGACUGUCCACAUCAGCCUCAUUCAUGCAGAUGCAACUCCUUGUAUUUCAUAACAAUAGUAUUAUA
Molecule: long non-coding RNA, 2474 nt
Organism: Scylla paramamosain (green mud crab)
Lineage: Eukaryota; Metazoa; Arthropoda; Malacostraca; Decapoda; Portunidae
Exons: 2
Source: RefSeq, a predicted model, not a curated record